CCCCUUCUGCCCGCCGGCUCCGGAAGUGCCGGUGGACGGCGGAGAUCCCUCGCGAGCCCUACCUGCCCCUGUCCGAGGCCGGCCACCAGGGGGCAGUACAGAGCAGGAGCGGUCGGCCAGGCCUGGCACCCCCCGGGACUCGCGAGAGUUCUCUUCCCACUGUCCUGGAAACCUCCAAGAGUGGGGUUCGUUUGGAAUUUAACUGAAAAGCCUAACAUGGAUUCCCAACUUGAAGUAAAUAAUAAACAUGAAGAACUCUUUAAAUAAUUA
This is a long non-coding RNA of Manis pentadactyla (Chinese pangolin), 270 nucleotides long. RefSeq lists it as uncharacterized. The transcript has 2 exons. NCBI's taxonomy places the organism in Eukaryota, Metazoa, Chordata, Mammalia, Pholidota, Manidae. The record is from RefSeq and is a predicted model, not a curated record.